AGAAUCAACGCUGGCGGCGUGCCUAACACAUGCAAGUCGCACGAGAAAGGGGACUUCGGUCCUGAGUAAAGUGGCGCACGGGUGAGUAACACGUGAAUAAUCUACCUCCGAGUGGGGAAUAACUGAGAGAAAUCUUAGCUAAUACCGCAUAAUACCCACGGGUCAAAGCAGCAAUGCGCUUGGAGAGGAGUUCGCGGCCGAUUAGCUAGUUGGCGGGGUAAUGGCCCACCAAGGCGAUGAUCGGUA
This 246-nucleotide ribosomal RNA is filed under the name uncultured bacterium. RNAcentral describes it as "partial small subunit ribosomal RNA". It matches the Rfam family "Bacterial small subunit ribosomal RNA", at positions 26 to 285 of the family's 1533-position model. The record is from RNAcentral.